UAUAAUUUAAAGUAGACCUGCCCCCUGAAAUUUUAAAGGGCCGCAGUAUUUUGACUGUGCAAAGGUAGCAUAAUCAUUAGUUUUUUAAUUGAAAGCUGUUUUGAAAGGAAAAAUGAGAAAAAAUCUUUAUUAAAUUUAAAUUUAAAUUUUAUUUUAAGUUUAAAAGUUAAAUAUAUUAAAAAGACGAGAAGCCCUAGAGUUUUUUUUAAAAUUUUUUUUAGUUAAAGAAAUUAAUAUAAAUUAUAAAUUUUAUUGGGGGGUAAAAAAAUUAAAAUAACUUUUUUUUUUAUAAAUACAUUAAUUUUG
RNAcentral lists this ribosomal RNA (306 nucleotides) under Chilocorus bipustulatus. RNAcentral describes it as "partial 16S ribosomal RNA". Lineage: Eukaryota; Metazoa; Arthropoda; Insecta; Coleoptera; Coccinellidae. The record is from RNAcentral.